AUAGCAUAACAAAAAAAAAAGAUCACGAUCGUUAAGGGAUAUUUGUUUGUUUAAUUUUCUUUUUGCUUUUAUUUGAUUGGUCAUGUCUUCCUAUAACUGUUUCAACUUAGGAAAACAACGUUUUAUUCUUCUUUUCUCAAUGACCAACAUCUCCAUCUUCCUUUUUCUCUUCCUCUUGCUCUUUCAAUUUCUUAUAUUUGUUAGUUUAAAAUUUAUGGUACGAAGUUUUUUGUCCAGAAUAACUUUUCAUUAUGAUGCCGGUUUGGUUUCUUCUUAGGAAGGAUAUGAAAGUUUAUGAGAGAUCUUUGGAAGUGUCGAGAGAUAAAAGAGGAUAUACAAUAUUGAUUUGAAGUGCGGAAGAAGAAUAGAAGUCUCAGGAAGUCUUCACGCCACUAACGAAGAUUGAAAUAUGGAUACAAAGAACGAAAAGAAAAGAAAGAAGAAAAACAUGGAUUGAGGAAACUUUCAUAGCCAAUUCUGUUUAUAUAUUUUACAGUUCUUUUUCCUCUGUAAAUUUAUCUUCCUGUUUCUUUUUUUUCCAUUAGCUUGUAUCAUCACAGAAAAAAAAAUUAUUAAUAAAAAUUUAUUUCAAUU
This is a long non-coding RNA of Raphanus sativus (radish), 594 nucleotides long. RefSeq lists it as uncharacterized. The transcript is spliced from 2 exons. NCBI's taxonomy places the organism in Eukaryota, Viridiplantae, Streptophyta, Magnoliopsida, Brassicales, Brassicaceae. The record is from RefSeq and is a predicted model, not a curated record.